AAAACUUUCAACAACGGAUCUCUUGGUUCUGGCAUCGAUGAAGAAUGCAGCGAAAUGCGAUAAGUAAUGUGAAUUGCAGAAUUCAGUGAAUCAUCGAAUCUUUGAACGCACAUUGCGCCCCUUGGUAUUCCGAGGGGCAUGCCUGUUCGAGCGUCAUUAC
This 160-nucleotide ribosomal RNA is filed under the name Candelariella rosulans. RNAcentral's name for it is "5.8S ribosomal RNA". It matches the Rfam family "5.8S ribosomal RNA". Rfam says of the family: 5.8S ribosomal RNA (5.8S rRNA) is a component of the large subunit of the eukaryotic ribosome. It is transcribed by RNA polymerase I as part of the 45S precursor that also contains 18S and 28S rRNA. Functionally, it is thought that 5.8S rRNA may be involved in ribosome translocation. Lineage: Eukaryota; Fungi; Ascomycota; Candelariomycetes; Candelariales; Candelariaceae. The record is from RNAcentral.